GGACCGUGUGGGAGGGACUCAGACAGGCCAUCAGCCGUAUAACUGUUGUUGUUCAGUGGCGUGAAAUCGGACUCUUUAGCACUGGGGCUCACCCAGGAUAUCGGAACUGCUUUAACAGCUUCCACUAUGCAGCACUCAGGGACAAAUCCCAAAUGGGGGCUCACCCCUUGCCAGAUUACUGGGCUAAACCUUACUGGCAGUCAUACUCCCCAGGGGUAAUGUCACCAACC
This is a non-coding RNA of Pelobates cultripes (western spadefoot toad), 230 nucleotides long. The record is from the annotation of a GenBank genome assembly. Lineage: Eukaryota; Metazoa; Chordata; Amphibia; Anura; Pelobatidae.